GAAAUGCGAUAAGUAAUGUGAAUUGCAGAAUUCAGUGAAUCAUCGAAUCUUUGAACGCACAUUGCGCCCAUUAGUAUUCUAUUGGGCAUGCCUGUUCGAGCGUCAUUUUGACCACUUAAGCCUGGCUUAGUGUUGGGAAUCUACGUUUCGUAGUUCCUUAAAUCUAGUGGCGGAGCCGCAGUGGCCUCUGAGCGUAGUAAUUAUCAUCUCGCUUUGGAAGGUUCUGUAGUUUUUGCCGUUAAACCCCCAAUUUUUUAAGGUUGACCUCGGAUCAGGUAGGAAUACCCGCUGAACUUAA
Molecule: unclassified non-coding RNA, 298 nt
Filed under: uncultured Cylindrium
Lineage: Eukaryota; Fungi; Ascomycota; Sordariomycetes; Hypocreales; Nectriaceae
Description: sequence contains ITS1
Rfam family: 5.8S ribosomal RNA (bases 1-105)
Source: RNAcentral